UACACGCUGUGACUAGCAUAUCAAUAAGCGGAGGAAAAGAAACUAACAAGGAUUCCCCUAGUAACGGCGAGUGAAGCGGGAAGAGCUCAAAUUUGAAAUCUUAAAGGGUUUCCCUUUACGAAUUGUAGUUUAAAGAAGUGUUUUCUGUUGAGGUUUUGGUAAAAGUUCUUUGGAAUAGGACAUCAUAGAGGGUGAGAAUCCCGUAUUUGACCUUUACUUUCAACUUUGUGAUACACUUUCAAAGAGUCGGAUUGUUUGGGAAUGCAGUCCAAAAUGGGUGGUAAAUUUCAUCUAAAGCUAAAUAUUGGCGAGAGACCGAUAGCGAACAAGUACCGUGAGGGAAAGAUGAAAAGAACUUUGAAAAGAGAGUUAAACAGUACGUGAAAUUGUCAAAAGGGAAGCGUUUGACACCAGUGUUGUUUUUCUGAAAAUCAAUUAAAGAACUGUUUAUGCUAAGUUGUUUAGACUUUAUCAGCUAACUGUUUAGUUUUGAGCUUUUCUUUAAUGCACUUUUCAGUUAACAAGUCAACAUCAAUUUCUUUUGCUGUAAAAAAGCUUGAGGAAGGUGGCUUGAGAUUCGUCUUAAGUGUUUAUAGCCUCUUGCCUAUGCAGUCGGAGAGAUUGAGGUCUGCAGCGUAGAUCCUUCGGGGCUAAAUGCAUUUGUGCUAAGUUAUAGCAUUUCAUAGACAACUUGUUGACUAUGAUUUGUCUUGUAGCUUACUCGCUUAUGUUAUUUUACCUACGCUUAGGAUGUUGAAGUCAUCGUAUCGCGC
RNAcentral lists this ribosomal RNA (773 nucleotides) under uncultured Neocallimastigales. RNAcentral describes it as "partial large subunit ribosomal RNA". It matches the Rfam family "Eukaryotic large subunit ribosomal RNA", at positions 22 to 645 of the family's 3401-position model. Lineage: Eukaryota; Fungi; Neocallimastigomycota; Neocallimastigomycetes; Neocallimastigales. The record is from RNAcentral.